AUUGAACGCUGGCGGCAGGCUUAACACAUGCAAGUCGAGCGAGAGGCGGACGGGUGAGUAAUGUCUGGGAAUCUGCCUGAUGGAGGGGGAUAACUACUGGAAACGUUAGCUAAUACCGCAUACCAUCAGAUGCGCCCAGAUGGGAUUAGCUAGUAGGUGGGGUAAUGGUGCACCUAGGCGACGAUCCCUAGCUGUUCUGAGAGGAUGACCAGACACGAUGGAACGGAGGAACGGUCCAGAGUCCUACGGGAGGCAGCAGGGGGGAAUAUUGCACAAUGGGCGCAAGCCUGAUGCAGCCAUGCCGCGUGUGUGAGGAAGGCCUUCGGGUGGUAAAGCACUUUCAGCGAGGAGGCGUUACUCGCAGAAGAAGCACCGGCUAACUCCGUGCCAGCAGCCGCGGUAAUAC
RNAcentral lists this ribosomal RNA (406 nucleotides) under uncultured bacterium. RNAcentral's name for it is "partial 16S ribosomal RNA". It matches the Rfam family "Bacterial small subunit ribosomal RNA", at positions 30 to 526 of the family's 1533-position model. The record is from RNAcentral.